UGAGUCUUGUUGUGGAAAUAAGGUCUACACAUAUUUCCUAGUUAAAGGAAAAUGUCUAUUUACUCAUCUCACACUAUGCUAUAGAGUUAAGCACACAUGUUUAAUCAAAAUGGCUGCUAGAAGCUUCUAACCCCUUCCUCCCCCUGCCCCUUUAAACACCGACUAACUACCUCGUGCAGCAAGAUGGUGCCGGGAAACCGUGGGAGACCCUCAUGGACCUGGUGACAU
Molecule: non-coding RNA, 228 nt
Organism: Pelobates cultripes (western spadefoot toad)
Lineage: Eukaryota; Metazoa; Chordata; Amphibia; Anura; Pelobatidae
Source: the annotation of a GenBank genome assembly